AAGAAUCGCCCCGUUUUUUGAAAUGGGUUCUAUUCCCAAACCGUGUAUACAUUACCUUUGUUGCUUUGGCGGGCCGCCUUCGGGCGUUGGCUCCGGUCGACUGCGCCCGCCAGAGGACCCAAACUCGUUCGUUUAGUGAUGUCUGAGUACUAUAUAAUAGUUA
This 163-nucleotide unclassified non-coding RNA is filed under the name uncultured Meliniomyces. RNAcentral describes it as "sequence contains ITS1". The record is from RNAcentral. Lineage: Eukaryota; Fungi; Ascomycota; Leotiomycetes; Helotiales; Helotiaceae.